RNAcentral lists this transfer RNA (76 nucleotides) under Desulfobacterales bacterium. RNAcentral describes it as "tRNA-Phe". It matches the Rfam family "tRNA". From Rfam's summary of the family: Transfer RNA (tRNA) molecules are approximately 80 nucleotides in length. Their secondary structure includes four short double-helical elements and three loops (D, anti-codon, and T loops). Lineage: Bacteria; Pseudomonadati; Thermodesulfobacteriota; Desulfobacteria; Desulfobacterales. RNAcentral also lists the same sequence under 2 other names. The record is from RNAcentral.
GCCGAGGUAGCUCAGUCGGUAGAGCAGUGGACUGAAAAUCCGCGUGUCGGCAGUUCGAUUCUGUCCCUCGGCACCA